RNAcentral lists this long non-coding RNA (1313 nucleotides) under Cricetulus griseus (Chinese hamster). Its description in RNAcentral is "lncRNA (ENSCGRG00015024612.2)". Lineage: Eukaryota; Metazoa; Chordata; Mammalia; Rodentia; Cricetidae. The record is from RNAcentral.
UCUCAACUUGAAGCCUUCUCUUCAGGGACUGAUUGUAUCACUGAUUGGAUGGUGGAGAAUUCAUGGCUUUGGAUUUUAGGGAGGGAGUUAUGUGCCCCACCUUGCUCUAUCCAGAUCCCUGCCUGAGUCAUCCGGACAGCUCUCACAUAGUUGGAGGUUCUCUGUCUUGAGGCUACUUAUCACUCUCCAGCCAGACCACUUACCAGCUUCCUCAGAAGCCCCUGCAUUAUAAUUCUUUCUAGAUACUUCCCUCACAUGGUGGUGCCUUCUGCGAUCUUGAGAAGUGUCCUGCUGCAAUGGGUUGCUAGUUACUUUAGUAAUGUGCUGAUGCCUGGAGAAAGUCUAUCGAGUGCUCUGCAGCGAUAAACCACACGGUCAGUGAUGCCUGGAAUUCUCCAGUGAGAGAGGAUGCCUGGCUCGCAGGAGGCUGAAUUGCACUGUUGCUUUACACAGCUGGAGGAGGGGAAGGAUUUCAUUUGCUCUUUCUUUUCAAGUUUCCCAAAGUGAAUAUGCAUCUGCUACUGUGGUCUUCCAGGAUGGUUUUCCUAGGUCACACACUUGCCAUGAGGUGAACAGCAUUGCUACAUGGUACCAUCCUGAGGCAAACAGCAUUGUUACUCCAUAUCAUCCUGUGUCCAUGCUGCUUUACUUCACCACAGCAAUGGAAUACAACAGCCAUGCACUACACCAUAUUUUGACACAACAACAAUGAGUGGCUUACACAAGGGCCAUGCCCCUGGAGUCAGGCAACUGCAUCUUUUGUCUUCUAACCUUUGGCCUGCCCUCAUGAAACAAGUGGAGGCAGAACUUGUAUUAAUCAGGAUGCUGUAAAGGAACAGAACUGAUUGAAUGUGGUGUGUGUGUGUGUGUGUGUGUGUGUGUGUGUGUGUGUGUGUGUGUGUUGUGUAUGAGGUGAGGGUGGGAUUUAAAUGCAGUCUGUGUUCCAUGUAAUCCAACAAUUUAAAGACCAGAAAUCUGGUAGCUGUUCAGCAGUCCCAAUCUGGUGUUGGAGUGCCAGAAGAUUCCCAGAGAGCCACUGGGCUGCAAUCUACAUUGGAAUCCUAAAGAAGUAGGUUCUAGUAUUGGGGAAGGAAUGCCUUGGAAACAGGAUAGACGGAACUUGCCAUCAAGGGUGAGGGCAAGCAGGCUAAAACCAAAAGCUUCCUUCUUCCUUGUCCAUUUCUGUGGGCUUCCACCUUAAGGUAUGGCACAGAAUUGUCAUAAUUCUUCCCAUCACAAAUGACAUAGUCAAUAAAAUUUGGGUUUUGGUGGACUUUGGGGAGCCCCCGUUGAGGGCCCUACCCUGCCUGGGG